Molecule: long non-coding RNA, 1189 nt
Filed under: Phasianus colchicus (ring-necked pheasant)
Lineage: Eukaryota; Metazoa; Chordata; Aves; Galliformes; Phasianidae
Description: lncRNA (ENSPCLG00000014525.1)
Source: RNAcentral
GACUGAGCUCGUUCACCCCGUGACAGCGGGAGAGCAGCUCUGCCGCAAGGAAACACAGAAUCGCCGAGCUCGGAAAAGAGCUCCGAGCUCAGCCAGCCCAGCCUCAGCCUCCCCUGGGCGCCUCGAGGCCGCUCCCCGCCCCUCCGAUGGCGGCCCCCUCCCCUCCUAUCGCCGCUCCCCCCCCUCCUAUCGCCGCUCCUGCGAUCGAACUGUGGGUUGUGGAGUCAAUUCCCCUUUUCCGUUGUUCAAUGCAGAAGCAACACUUCCACUUUCCACAAAUCUUACUGGCUUACAGAGUUCGAUUCCGCACAUCCUGAGCACGGAGGGACGAUCGCAGCCCGGAGACCGGGCAAAAAAAAAACAAAAAAAACCGGCGGCUGCGGGUCCGCACGUGGCGCCACGCGAUGCCCUGGGGGCCGCCAUCUUGGCAGUGGCGCACGCUGCCAAGGGACUGCGGAGGUCACGUGAUCGCGGGCACUUCCGGUUACGGGGAGAGCUUAUCACGUGACACUGGAGCGCCGCGCUUAUUGCGAGCGCCCCCUCGUGGCUGCGCUCGGCGUUGCGGCGCCGCCCGCCUCCCCCCCCGCCGUUCCGCCCCGUCUUCGUUCCGCCGAACCGCCCCGCAACGGAUCCGAGCGGCACCGCCCGCCCGCCCCGUACCCAAAAAAACCCACCGAAACGACCGCAAAUAACCCCCAACGGAACCGACCCCGCUCUCGUAGCGCCCCGUCCGUGCCGCCAGCCCGAACCGAGCCCGAACCGCCCCGCGCUCCGCGCACCCCAAAGCCGCCCUUAACGCCGCCCGCAGCGCCCCCAGCCUGCAGCCCUGCGCCGCCCCAAGCCCGGGUCCGCUUCCCAGCCCCCUGCCCAGGACAGACCUGCGUCCGGCCGUCCGUCCCCGUCCGUCCCUGUCCCGUCUCCGUCCGUCCGUCCGUCCCCAUCCAGACUCCGUCCGUCUUCGCCUCUGCGCGCAGACGUGGGAGGGGAGCCGUUGUGAAGAUCCACCAAUAGCAGUGCAGUGCGGCGCUCGUGGAACGCGCCCAUUGGCUGCGCUGUGCUGACGUCACGACCGCCCUCUAUAAAAGGUCAGCCGCGGGAAGCGGCGCUGCAGUUGUGGGGUCAGACAGGAAUGGGGCGGAGCUGUGGGGCUCCAUAUGGGGUCACAUUUAAUGGGGCAGAGCUGUGGGGU